UACGGGGGGAGCAAGCGUUGUUCGGAUUUACUGGGCGUAAAGGGCGCGUAGGCGGUCAGCACAAGUCAGUUGUGAAAUCUCCGGGCUUAACUCGGAAAGGUCAACUGAUACUGUGCGACUAGAGUGCAGAAGGGGCAACUGGAAUUCUCGGUGUAGCGGUGAAAUGCGUAGAUAUCGAGAGGAACACCUGCGGCGAAGGCAGCUCGCUGGGACGGUACUGACGCUGAGACGCGAAAGCGUGGGGAGCGAACAGG
RNAcentral lists this ribosomal RNA (254 nucleotides) under uncultured bacterium. RNAcentral's name for it is "partial 16S ribosomal RNA". It matches the Rfam family "Bacterial small subunit ribosomal RNA", at positions 524 to 776 of the family's 1533-position model. The record is from RNAcentral.